CAGCAGCCGCGGGAAUACGAAGGGUGCAAGCGUUACUCGGAAUUACUGGGCGUAAAGCGUGCGUAGGUGGUGGGUUAAGUCCGUUGUGAAAGCCCUGGGCUCAACCUGGGAAUUGCAGUGGAUACUGGGUCACUAGAGUGUGGUAGAGGAUAGUGGAAUUUCCGGUGUAGCAGUGAAAUGCGUAGAGAUCGGAAGGAACAUCUGUGGCGAAGGCGACUAUCUGGGCCAACGCUGACACUGAGGCACGAAAGCGUGGGGAGCAAACAGGAUUAGAUACCCCCGUAGUCCCUGUCUCUUAUAC
This 301-nucleotide ribosomal RNA is filed under the name uncultured bacterium. RNAcentral describes it as "partial 16S ribosomal RNA". It matches the Rfam family "Bacterial small subunit ribosomal RNA", at positions 509 to 807 of the family's 1533-position model. The record is from RNAcentral.